RNAcentral lists this ribosomal RNA (253 nucleotides) under uncultured bacterium. RNAcentral describes it as "partial 16S ribosomal RNA". It matches the Rfam family "Bacterial small subunit ribosomal RNA", at positions 524 to 776 of the family's 1533-position model. The record is from RNAcentral.
UACAGAGGGAGCAAGCGUUGUCCGGAAUUAUUGGGCGUAAAGAGCUCGUAGGCGGUUUGUUGCGUCGGCUGUGAAAUCCCGAGGCUCAACCUCGGGUCUGCAGUCGAUACGAGCAAACUAGAGUGUUGCAGGGGAGACUGGAAUUCCUGGUGUAGCGGUGAAAUGCGCAGAUAUCAGGAGGAACACCGGUGGCGAAGGCGGCUUGCUGGGCCAGUUCUGACGCUGAGGAGCGAAAGCGUGGGGAGCGAACAGG